GACGAACGCUGGCGGCGUGCUUAACACAUGCAAGUCGAACGGAAAGGCCCUGCUUUUGUGGGGUGCUCGAGUGGCGAACGGGUGAGUAACACGUGAGUAACCUGCCCUUGACUUUGGGAUAACUUCAGGAAACUGGGGCUAAUACCGGAUAGGAGCUCCUGCUGCAUGGUGGGGGUUGGAAAGUUUCGGCGGUUGGGGAUGGACUCGCGGCUUAUCAGCUUGUUGGUGGGGUAGUGGCUUACCAAGGCUUUGACGGGUAGCCGGCCUGAGAGGGUGGCCGGGCACAUUGGGACUGAGAUACGGACCAGACUCCUACGGGAGGCAGCAGUGGGGAAUAUUGCACAAUGGGCGGAAGCCUGAUGCAGCAACGCCGCGUGCGGGAUGACGGCCUUCGGGUUGUAAACCGCUUUCGCCUGUGACGAAGCGUGAGUGACGGUAAUGGGUAAAGAAGCACCGGCUAACUACGUG
RNAcentral lists this ribosomal RNA (468 nucleotides) under uncultured bacterium. RNAcentral's name for it is "partial 16S ribosomal RNA". It matches the Rfam family "Bacterial small subunit ribosomal RNA", at positions 28 to 507 of the family's 1533-position model. The record is from RNAcentral.